RNAcentral lists this ribosomal RNA (1131 nucleotides) under Triticum aestivum (bread wheat). RNAcentral describes it as "partial small subunit ribosomal RNA". The record is from RNAcentral. Lineage: Eukaryota; Viridiplantae; Streptophyta; Magnoliopsida; Poales; Poaceae.
AUGCUGCCCGGUGCGCGCAUCGGCUCCGGCGUGCUGUCCCUGCCCUGGUCAGUGGCGCAGCUCGGCUUGGUCGCCGGGCCUGCCACACUCGUCGUCUUCGCCGGCGUCAUGUACUACACCUCCGUGCUCCUCACCGACAGCUACCACAGCGAUGGCGCCGUAGCCGGGAAGAGGAACUACACCUACAUCAAGGCCGUCGAGUCCUACACCAUCACGGCGAAGAGGAUCUCCAAGUGGCGAAGUGUGGUUCUGCGGCCUCUGCCAGCCAACUGCUUCCACAACAGCGGCCACUCCGUCGACUGCGGCGUGUACACCACCAUGUACAUGGUCCUCUUCGCGAUCUCCAAGGUCGUCUUCUCCCAGCUCCCCAACCUCCAUGAGAUGGCGUGGCUGUCCAUCCUGGCCGCGGUCAUGUCCAUCUCCUACUCUACGAUCGGCGUUGGCCUCUCCUUGGCACAGACCAUAUCAGGUCCUAUCAGCAAGACGACCAUGGGUGGCACUGUCAUUGGGGCGUCUCCGGCCGAGAACAAGACGAUGAGGAAGGCGAACCUCAUGGGGGUCUCCACCACCACAGCCUUCUACUUGCUCUGCAGCUGCCUUGGCUACGCCACCUUUGGCAACAUGCUCACCAGGUUCGGCUUCUCUGAGCCCUUCUGGCUCAUCGACUUCGCCAACAUCUGCAUCGUCGUGCACCUCGCCGGCAUCUACCAGGUUUACUGCAAGCAGAUCUACGCCACCGUGGAGAGCUGGGCCGUGGCACGGUGUCCGGGCUUGGACUUCAUCGUCCGCCAGAACCAUCCCUUUGGCGCCCACAAGUUCGGCGUCAGCAAGUUCAGGCUGGUAUGGAGGACAGUGUUCGUCGUCGUGAGCACGGUCCUCGCCAUCUUGCUGCCCUUCUUCAACGACAUCCUUGGCCUCCUCGGCGCGCUCGGGUUCUGGCCGCUCACCGUGUACUUCCCUGUGGAGAUGCACAUCCGGCAACGCAAAGUGAAAAGGUCCUCCUGGAAGUGGGUGGCGCUACAAGGCCUGAGCUUCAUGUGUUUCGCGGUAACGGUGGGCGUGACUCUGGCGUCGGUGCAGGGGAUCACCCAAUCGCUCAAAAGCUAUGUGCUGUUCAAGACCAAGUUGUGA